This 2462-nucleotide long non-coding RNA is filed under the name Homo sapiens (human). Its description in RNAcentral is "HSALNT0241624". The record is from RNAcentral. Lineage: Eukaryota; Metazoa; Chordata; Mammalia; Primates; Hominidae.
GCUGCUUCUGGGGUGAGGAAGAAACACAAAACAUUUAGAUCUUUCACCUGGUUGCCCACAGAUACCAGACUAAUUUGCACAUAGAUGCAGUGCUAGCCAAUGACAGUUGAAGGGAAGUUCUGCCUGGGACUGCAGAAAGGUCUCCUUUCUCGAAAAAGGAUUCAAGAAGGGGCCAGGUGUGGUGGCUCAUGCCUGUAACCCCAGCACUUUGGGAGGCCAAGGCAGGCGGAUCACUUGAGGCCAGGAGUUCAAGACCAGACUGGCCACCAUGGUGAAACCCCAUCUCUACUAAAAAUACAAAAUUAUCCAGGUAGGGCUUCCAGGUACUUGUAUCCUGAUUGAUGCUGUCACUCUCACUGGAAAACAAUUGGAAGGUUAGAGUGGACUGAAGAGGCAUAAAGUUUCAAACUCAGGAGACUUGCAUGAAGCCUUCACAUGAACACAGGCCUGUUCUCCACUUGGAGAUGACAGGAAACUUUCCCAACAAAGGCCUCAGAAACAGUGUCCUUGCCUGGGGUUUCCUGCAGAACUCUGCUUCUCCCUUGAAGAUGGGGCACUCCCAUCUCUUUGGGGCCCCUCCCGGGUCUCUGCCUCCCAACACACAAAGCAGGAGUUGUCCACCCCCACCGUAAAGAAACCAGCUGUGGGAUCUUUCAGCAGGUCUCCGCUUGUUCCAAAGCCUCAGUUUCUACAUUGGAUAAAGGGGAAUGGCAGCGGCCCUAGAGAAAAGACCUUUUUUUUUCUUUUUUUUUUGAGAUGGGGUUUCGCUCUGUUGCCCAGGCUGGAGUGCAAUGGCUCCAUCUCGGCUCACUGCAACCUCUGCCUCCCGGGUUCAAGCGAUUCUCCCUGCCUCAGCCUCUCAAGUAGCUGGGAUUAAAGGUGCCUACCACCACACCUGGCUAAUUUUUGUAUUUUUUAAAGUAGAGACAGGGUUUCAUCAUGUUGGCCAGGCUGGUCUCGAACUCCUGACCUCAGGUAAUCCACCUGCCUCGGCCUCCCAAAGUGCUGGGAUUACAGAUGUGAGCCACCGUAUCCAGCUGGGAUGACCUUCUUAGACAGCCUGUGUCACAGAAUUUGUAGUUCCCUUUAAAGAUGAUGCUUGGAAUAACCCACUUCCAGCAAGAGUGGACAGCAGCAAGAAGACUUUGUUUCAUCCUUCAGCUGAGUCGUAAGUUGUUUCCUUUUGUACAUGUCACACAUGAAGAAGAGAGCAAGCCCUGGUGCAGGAUGGCACCUGUGGCUAUGAAACAGAAGAAAAUCUAUGGCCCUACUAGGGAUUGACCCAUGACCUUGACCUUUUGGGCAAGGAGCACCGACAGCUAAGCCAUCAUCCCCAACAGCCCAGUGUGCAUCAGAUGGUAUGGACGUGCAGCCUGGAACAGCCCCCUGGAAGACAAACAGCCAAGUCAUUAAUCAGUUGCUUUACCCCUGUACUCUGUGUGUUUGUGUGUGUGUGUGUGUGUGUGUGUGUGUGUGUGCGUUUGUUGGGGGAUGGGGUAAGGGUAUUGUGUGCCUGUGAGUAUGUGCCCAGCCCUCCAGACCAGGGUCCUCAAAGGGACCUGCCCCAGUGUGAAGGAAAGACCCCGCCCAGCAAUGAGGGAGUGGCCAGGACAUCUUUCCACAGCAUCUGGGAGGAACGGGCAGGGCCGGAUAUGGGCUGCCGACCUUCUCCCUUCCUCCUGAAGAGGAAGCUCCUCCUGCGCCACCUUUGUGCUGACCGCUGGGUGGUUACGAAUGUGUUCCCUGCCUGUCGUUCUCUUCCUGAGCAGUGAGGAGCAGCUCACUCAGCCCAGCCCAGCCCCCACUCCUGAGAUCCAGCCCAUGAAGGAGCUCUGUGUCCUGGCUUCUGACCAGGCUGAUGGGUGGGGUGGGAGGCAAGGACCAGAGGCUGAGUCAAGGCCUUCACCCAGCCUCUUCUGGAGCAUGGCUCCCUCACCUCUCCCAUAAAAAAUAGACAUAAGGUCGGAAAGGACUUCCCUGAACUAACAGGACAGGGCCUGCAGAAGGCCUGAACCCUGGCCAGCAGACAGGUGAUGAGCAUGUCUACACCAGGAAGGUGGGGAAUAAAUUUUAUUUUAAAAAUUAAAUUAAAUUUAUUUAAGAGACAUGAUCUUGCUCUAUCACCCAGGCUGGACUGCAGUGGUGAGAUCAUAGCUCACUGCAGCCUUCAACACCUGGAGUCAAGCCAUCAUCCUCAUGCCUCAGCCUCCUGAGUAGCUGAGACUACAGGUGCAUGCCACCAUGCCCAGCUAAUUUAAUUUUAUUUAAUAUAACACUCCAAUACCAUGUAUCAUGUGCCCUUUAUAAUUAUGAACUGAUAUUAUAUAAGCCUCAUAACAACCCUAUGAGAAAGGUGCUCUGAUUAUGCCCACUUCAUAUAGGAAGAGGCUGAGGCACAGAGAGGUUAAGCAACUUACCCAAGAUCACCCAUCUAGUAAGCAGCAGAGCCCAGAUCUGAAUUC